Molecule: ribosomal RNA, 743 nt
Filed under: Ascochyta sp. PHY-36
Lineage: Eukaryota; Fungi; Ascomycota; Dothideomycetes; Pleosporales; Didymellaceae
Description: eukaryotic LSU rRNA
Rfam family: 5.8S ribosomal RNA (bases 386-539)
Source: RNAcentral
GUGAUUCACGAUUCUGCAAUUCACACUACUAUCGCAUUCGUGCUUUUAUCAUGCAGACACCAAGUCCGCUGUAAAAGUGUAAUUUAUAUUUUCAGACGCGACCGCAACUGCAACUGCUUAUAAUUGUCUACGGCUGGCGGACCGCCGGGAACUUAAGUACGCACAGACUUGGGUAGAGCUGGUAGACAGAUGCCUACAACUCUCGGUAUGAUUCUUCCGUAAGGGUACCUGCGGAAGGAUCAUUACCGAGAGUUGUAGGCUUCUGUCUACCAUCUCUUACCCAUGUCUUUUGCGUACUUAACGUUUCCUCGGCAGGUCCGCCUGCCGUAGGACAAUUAUAAACCAUUUGCAGUUGCAGUCAGCGUCUGAAAAAUAUAAUAAUUACAACUUUUAACAACGGAUCUCUUGGUUCUGGCAUCGAUGAAGAACGCAGCGAAAUGCGAUAAGUAGUGUGAAUUGCAGAAUUCAGUGAAUCAUCGAAUCUUUGAACGCACAUUGCGCCCCUUGGUAUUCCAUGGGGCAUGCCUGUUCGAGCGUCAUUUGUACCUUCAAGCUCUGCUUGGUGUUGGGUGUUUGUCCCGCCUUUGUGCGCGGACUCGCCUUAAAGCAAUUGGCAGCCGGCGUAUAGAUUUCGGAGCGCAGCACAAUCCGCGCUUUGUACUCAUUACGACGACAUCCAUCAAGACAUUUUUUAACUCUUGACCUCGGAUCAGGUAGGGAUACCCGCUGAACUUAAGCAUAUC